AGAGCGCAAGGGGAAUGCCUUGGCACCAGGAGCCGACGAAGGACGCAGCAAUCUGCGAAAAGCCACGGGGAGCCGAAAGCAGGCAUCGAUCCGUGGAUGUCCGAAUGGGGAAACCCGGCUGGCUGAAGGCCAGUCAGCGUACACUGAAUCCAUAGGUGUGCGCGGGGAACCGCCUGAACUGAAACAUCUAAGUAGGGCGAGGAAAAGAAAUCAACCGAGAUUCCGCAAGUAGUGGCGAGCGAACGCGGAAGAGGCCAAACCGGUCGUAGAAAUAUGGCCGGGGUUUGGACAGCAUAAAGCAUGCUGGACCCUAGCAGAAGGGCAUGGGACGGCCCACCACAGAGAGUGAAAGUCUCGUAUGCGAAAGGGAAAGGCAGCUGGCUGGAUCCAGAGUACCACUGGACACGUGAAACCCGGUGGGAAAACGGGGGGACCACCCUCCAAGCCUAAAUACUCCCUGGUGACCGAUAGCGAAGAGUACUGUGAAGGAAAGGUGAAAAGAACCCCGGGAGGGGAGUGAAAAGAACCUGAAACCUUGUGCUUACAAGCACACAGAGCACGUCAAGGUGUGAUGUGGUACCUUUUGUAGAAUGGUCCGGCGAGUGAAUGUAGCAGGCAAGGUUAAGCACUUGAGGUGCGGAGCCGAAGCGAAAGCAAGUCUGAAGAGGGCGUCAAGUCUGCUGUAUUCGACCCGAAACCGGGUGACCUAGCCAUGUCCAGGCUGAAGUGAAGGUAAAACUUCAUGGAGGGCCGAACCCACUCCCGUUGAAAUGGUAGGGGAUGAGGUGUGGCUAGCGGAGAAAUUCCAAUCGAACCCGGAGAUAGCUGGUUCUCUCCGAAAUAGCUUUAGGGCUAGCCUCGAUUGAACAUUACCGGAGGUAAAGCACUGAAUGGGCUAGGGGCCGAGAGGUUACCGAACCCUAUCAAACUCAGAAUGCCGGAUAAUGAUGAUCGGGAGUCAGACAGUGUGAGAUAAGUUUCAUUGUCGAAAGGGAAACAGCCCAGACCCACAGCUAAGGUCCCAAAGUAUCGUUAAGUGGAAAAGGAUGUGGAACUGCCCAGACAACCAGGAUGUUGGCUCAGAAGCAGCCAUACAUUCAAAGAGUGCGUAAUAGCUCACUGGUCGAGUGGUUCUGCGCCGAAAAUUUAACGGGGCUAAACGAUACACCGAAGCUUGGGAUUUCAGAUGUCAGACAGUAGACAUCAGACAACAGACAGGAGCCGAAAGAAAUGGAAGGAUACCGGAAGCUGAAGAUAUAUGAGAAAUCGUAUCGUGCGGCAUUGGCGGUAUACCGGAUGACGGAAAGCUUCCCGGAAAGGGAAAAGUACGGAAUCACAGAUCAGAUGAGGCGAGCGUCUGUAUCGAUUGCGCUGAAUAUAGCGGAAGGGUACGCCAAGAAAGAGAGCCAGGCAGAAUUCAGAAGAUAUCUGAUGAUGGCAUAUGGCUCAGCGAACGAAAUGGGCGUAUUGAUAGACCUGUCGAAGGACCUUGGGUACACAGAAGAAGAAGUGUACGAAAAGGCGGGGAAGACAUAUGAGGAAAUACGGCGGAUGCUGUAUGGACUCGUAAAAGGUCUGAAGUCUGAUAUCUAGCGUCUGACAUCUGAGAUGGUAGGAGAGCGUUCUGUACGGGGUGAAGUCAUAGCGGAAGCGGUGGUGGACUGUACAGAAGAGAGAAUGCCGGAAUGAGUAGCGAGAUUUAUGUGAGAAUCAUAAAGGCCGAAAGACUAAGGAUUUAGAAGGAAGGUUCGUCCGCUUCUAGUUAGCCGGGAGCUAAGGCGAGGCCGAAAGGCGUAGUCGAUGCACAUACGGUGGAGAUUCCGUAGCCGCCUCUUGAUUUAAGCAAAGGGACACUUUCAAAGGGAAUGACCCGGGCGUUGGUAGCCCCGGGCGAAAGGGACCGAAAUUAGAGUAGGGAAGCAUUUCUGGAGGAAGGCGAGAAAAGCUUUGCGGAUAGAGAGAGGCGCCCGUACCGCAAACCGACACAGGUAGUCAGGAAGAGGAUUCUAAGGCCAACGGGAGAAGGGUAGUUAAGGAACUCGGCAAAUUGACCCCGUAACUUCGGAAUAAGGGGUGCUCCUGAAAAGGAGCCGCAGUGAAUAGGCCCAGGCGACUGUUUAUCAAAAACACAGCUCUCUGCUAAAUCGAAAGAUGAAGUAUAGGGGGUGACACCUGCCCGGUGCUGGAAGGUUAAGAGGAAGGGUGCAAGCUCUGAAUUGAAGCCCCAGUAAACGGCGGCCGUAACUAUAACGGUCCUAAGGUAGCGAAAUUCCUUGUCGGGUAAGUUCCGACCCGCACGAAUGGUGUAACGAUCUGGGCACUGUCUCAACUACCCACCCGGCGAAAUUGUAGUACCGGUGAAGAUGCCGGUUACCCGCGGCAAGACGGAAAGACCCCAUGGAGCUUUACUGUAGCCUGAUAUUGGGUUUCGGUAUUCUAUGUACAGGAUAGGCGGGAGACAGGGAACCGUUGGCGUCAGCUGACGGGGAGUCGCCCUUGGGAUACCGCUCUUAGAGUAUUGGAAUUCUAACCUGCGGCCGUGAAUCCGGCCGGGGGACAUUGUCAGGUGGGCAGUUUGACUGGGGCGGUCGCCUCCUAAAAGGUAACGGAGGCGCUCAAAGGUUCGUUCAGCACGGACGGAAAUCGUGCAUUGA
RNAcentral lists this ribosomal RNA (2654 nucleotides) under human gut metagenome. RNAcentral's name for it is "bacterial LSU rRNA". It matches the Rfam family "Bacterial large subunit ribosomal RNA", at positions 14 to 2348 of the family's 2925-position model. The record is from RNAcentral.